This is a long non-coding RNA of Esox lucius (northern pike), 6139 nucleotides long. The record is from Ensembl. NCBI's taxonomy places the organism in Eukaryota, Metazoa, Chordata, Actinopteri, Esociformes, Esocidae.
UGAGUCAUUCCGAGGCGGGGUGUAUGGCACAUUUAAUGGUUAAAUCAUCACUAUCAAAAAUGUUUGUUUUUAACUAUAUCACUUUGUAAUCAAGAUUUUAGAGACAUCUUCUGAAUAUCAGUUUAAAUUAUGGACUGAUAUACUCUAGGGGUGUAACGAUCCAUCUACUACAUCGAUGUAUCGAUAUAUAUUCCUAUGAUCCUACUACAUCGAUCUGUGCUCAGCAAGUUGGCCUUCCGGACGAUAUAUAUCGAUCUAACAUCGUUUUAAAAUGUAAUCAAUCGAUUGUAUCCAUACUAGGAAAUAACCCAUUGGAUUUAAGCACGUCAGACUUUAUAGGAAUGUUUUUUCUUAGCACUUUUAAUGAUAAAGGCGAUAAACGUUACUCGAUUCAGUCUGCCUAUCCGUGACGUCAUCGCCCCGGGCCAGCAGCAGCGCAAAGACAACAAAACAUAGCGAGGCAGAUGGCAGAGGAGAAGCCGACGAGCGAGAAAUUAUCAAGCCACCAUUGCGGUCCAGUGUGUGGAAAGUGUUGGUUGCACUUUAUUUUUGAUAUUAAUACUGUAUUUGUAUUAUUUCUAUGUUGAAAUACAACAGCAAAAGUAGCAGAUACCUGAUUCCCUUACAAGAAACAACAGGAAUCUAGGAAACUUCACCUGCACUGUCCAGUAUCCAGGUGGAAAUGUUAAAAACGGUUGAUUGUGAUUCCGCCGGAUUCAAAAGGAUACACAGGAUCCCCGAUCAAGACUGAAUCCUGUACAUUGUUCCUCUACAAGAGGACCUUGAUCUUCAUCCAGUCCCUGCACAUUCCAGAGUAUUCGAAGAAAUGCCAAAACCAACAUGUCAAAUGUGCAACCAAAACAUGCCACUACAGAUGCUGGCUCUUCAUAUCCAGGUUUGUGAGAAGGGAUGUGGAUCUGAGAAAGAAAAUGUAUCUGAGGAAGGAAAGGUGUAAUAAUAAUGUAUUUUUAGUUCUUAACAGAGUAUGUAGUGAAUGAACAUAUAUGCGUAAGUGAUCUAUAACCGUUACAAAUCAUGAUGAACACAACCCAAGAUUUUGUUUGGAUGGGGUGAAGGUGGGUAUUAGGCUGUGGAAUGUAUCAUCUGAUCAAUGUUUUCAAGGCUGCAUUAAUGUUGUUUUUAUCAGUCUCUGUAAUAGAUAAAAGUACAAGUAGAAAAUUAUGUGAGGGGAACUCUGAUAAAGCAUUUCAUUUUACAGUGUAGCAGAGACUUUUCUUUCCCUGCUUUAAUUUAAUCUUCACACUAAAUGUUUUAUUCUGCUGCUGUUUGGGUUUUGAAUUGUGGAUUUGUUGUCCAGGAACAGACUGAAGUUGAAUUCAUCUCUGAAAUAAAGUGAGUAGAGAUGGAGCCAGAAACGUAUGCUAAUGUGGUACCUUAAACCAGCAAUAUUUGUAAAAGUCAGCUUUUUUUUUAACACUUUUUGCUUUACAUAUUUGAAAAUGACAAAUGUACACAUUACCCUGCAUGGAUAUACACCAAUCAGACAACAUUAUGACCACCUACCUAAUAUUGUGUAGGUCCCCUUUUGCCCGUCAAAACAGCCCUGACCCAUAGAGGCAUGGAUUCCACCCGACCUCUGAAGGUGUGCUGUGGUAUCUGGAACCAAGACAUUAGGUCUUUACACAAACCUGGGGCUUUGUAGGACCUUCAGAUUCUUGUUUGUCGCGGGGAAACAUUCCUGUCAGGGGAACUGAUCAGUGUGACUGAAUGAAAACUUCCAAAUUCACACCUUCUGAGUAAUCCUGUUGCACAAUUUGUUUAACGCUAUGAAAAAACACACUUCACCAACAGCAUCUGAGCUCUGCUAAAUCAGCUGAUGUACCAUCAAUGAGAACGUGCCAAAUGACUUGCAAUUACAGCCUGUAAAUCAGCUCUUUAACAUCAUGUAUGGAUUUGGUCUCAGACUGAACCCAUGUCAGGACUGAGUCCCUGAGGUUUCCUGUGAAGCAGCGGGCCCUUUGGAAGAGCAACAUGAGUGUCUUCACCUGCAUGUCUUCUGUCAUGAAGUUCAAGGGUAUUAAUAGUUAAUAGGACGUCUGUGGGGAACUAAUAGUCUCUGUAACCCCCCAGUAAAACAUUUCUGUAAUCCCCCAGUAAAACAUUACUGUAAACCCCCAAUUAAGCAUUUCUGUAACCCCCCAGUAUAGCAUUUCUGUAAUCCUCCAAUAAAGCAUUUCUGUAAACCCCCAGUAAAACAUUUCUGUAAUCCCCCAGUAAAACAUUACUGUAAACCCCCAGUAAAACAUUUCUGUAAACCCCCAAUUAAGCAUUUCUGUAAACCCCCAGUAAAGCAUUUCUGUAAACCCCCAAUUAAGCAUUUCUGUAACCCCCCAGUAUAGCAUUUCUGUAAUCCUCCAAUAAAGCAUUUCUGUAAACCCCCAGUAAAACAUUUCUGUAAACCCCCAAUAGAGCAUUUCUGUAAUCCUCCAAUAAAGCAUUACUGUAAACCCCCAGUAAAACAUUUCUGUAAACCCUCAAUUAAGCAUUUCUGUAAACCCCCAGUAAAGCAUUUCUGUAAACCCCCACUAAAACAACACCAUUAUUCCUCACAAUUCAAGAUCACACUAUCUGGUUUUACACCAUUGAGCCAAUAAGGAGUAGCUCACACCCUUAUAACCCAAGGUAGUGACACCUGUUUUCUAAAACCCCCAGAGAUACAUUCACACUUCAGGUUUCCUACCUAGAAACUGUAUCAAAUGUCUGAGGCUUUGGGGUUUUAAAGGAUGGUUCCUAAUUUCCUAAAAAUAUAGAUGGCUGAUGAAAUAGCCCCUUAUUAUAUAUAAAGGUAUGAAACAGUAGACAUUUAGAUUUCUAUUAAGAGAUUAGUUAUACAGUGUAGCAGGCUCAGGGGUGUGGUGUUUCCAUGUCACCAAGGUCAAAAACAGCAGCACAGAAAGCAGGACCAGAAUGCAGUUGGGGUGUUUAUUAGAGGUGUUUGUACACAGUGGGGGAGAAAAUAAAGAGGAAUUCAUCAACCAAUUCACCGUCCUCAUCGUUCGUUGUCCUUUAUCCAGGUCCUCAUCCAAAACCCCCGGUCCUCAUCUAAAACCCAGGACCUCAUCCAAAACUUGUGUCCUUGUCCAAACCAGUUUGUUACACCAGUAAUCAGGCAGUCCAGGUCAUAACAGGCACUCACACAGAUCAGGCUGUCAAUACACACACUCUCCAUACCACACAUUGUCUUCCCCAAUUGGGCUGCCUGCUUCCUCCUUUAUCCCCAAGUACUCAACGGCUUAAUGAUGCUCAGACCUCCCUCGUUGGGGAAGUCCAUAGUAGGCUUGGGGGUGAAGUCUGCGGGCCACCAGAUAUCUUCCCCCAAUCACCCCUCACCAUCUCCCCACCACCUGACACAACUGUUAAGAUGUGACAACACAACAUUUAAGAUGUGACAACACAACAUUUAAAUUGUGACAACACAACAUUUAAGAUGUGACAACACAAUAUUUUAAAUGUGACAACACAACAUUUAAAAUGUGAUGUCUCUGAUUUAGAGAGGUAUAACUAUUGAAUGAGAAUAAUUAUACUGAAAACUCAAGACAUUACAGACCAAUAAUUUUCUGUUUAUACUUGAACAUAAGUAUUCACUCCCCUUGGACUUCAAUGAGUUGUAAACAUAGUUGACUGGAGAGUGACCUGGAUGUGAACAUAAUUGACUGGAGAGUGACCUGGAUGUGAACAUAGUUGACUGGAGAGUGACCUGGAUGUGAACAUGGUUGACUGGAGAGUGACCUGGAUGUGAACAUAGUUGACUGGAGAGUGACCUGAAUGUGAACAUAGUUGACUGGAGAGUGACCUGGAUGUGAACAUAGUUGACUGGAGAGUGACCUGGAUGUGAACAUAGUUGACUGGAGAGUGACCUGGAUGUGAACAUAGUUGACUGGAGAGUGACCUGGAUGUGAACAUAGUUGACUGGAGAGUGACCUGGAUGUGAACAUAGUUGACUGGAGAGUGACCUUACCCCUUGUGAAUGUCACCAGGACGACCAACCCUCGUCUGUUGUUCAGAAGUUAACAGAGAGGAUAAUGUGAUGGAAAUUUCAUGUAUCGACACUCUUAAAGAAGUAAGAAACAGAGACAAAGUUCUCUUGGCACAUUCUAAUAGUUUUAUUAACUAUUAUACAAAAUCAACAUUGAUUUUGUAUAAUAAUUAAUAAUCCUCUGAUAUUAUACAGACAUGUGUGUCACAAUCAAAGUACAGAUUUAUAUAUCAGCCAAUGGAAAGACGGACAUUUCUCAAAUGCACCUUAGUUCAAAAUUUCCAUAACAAUAACUGGAGACUUUGAUCCUAAGAAAUAAAAGACUGAUGCCAUAUGGAACACUUUAACAAAGAUCUUGUUUGAUCUUAGCUGAACAAAGACACCAAAUGUAGACUAGUUCAACAUGAUCAUUCUCCCAUUUAGAAGUAAAUCUACUGCAACCAGAGAGUAUUCAGAAUGUACCGAUUCCAAAACUGAGCCUACGCCAGACAACACAACAAUGAAUCAAUGUAGUAAUCUCCAUUUAUUAAAAAUACUUAAACAAUAUUUAUACAUCAGUAUUCAUAAACAUAAACAAUUCCUCGAUAUUACAAAUAUAAUUACAUGACCCUUAAACUGUAUCAGAACAGUCAACAUUAUGACUAUUUAACUAGUAAAACAACUGUUAAAAAACAGUACAUUGUAUCAAUCAAUCACAUUUAUUUAUAAAGCCCUUUUUACAUCAGCAGUUGUCACAAAGUGCUUUUACAAAACACUCGGCCUUAAACCCCAAGGAGCAAACAACAGUAGUGUUGAGCAAAUCUAAAUAUCUAAAUUCAUGAGGAAUAUCUACUUAGUUUCAAAGUGGACUUGCCAAAAUCUGAAAGUUGUCAAUAAGUUUUCUAAACACGUUACAUGCUAAUAAUCAGCAUUAUUGUUUCUCAGUUUAUAUUUUUAUUUUAACCUUUAUUCAUAUUAGCAAGAUCUGAUGAUGUUUCACCAGAUCUCAAACCUCUUGUCUGUCAGGAAGGGCCUUCUGUCCUUGAUUCUGUUGUUGUAGAGCCUGUAGAGAAAAACUCUGUUGUUGCUGUUGUGUCUUAAGAAAUGUCCCAACAUUAUAAUUAUUAUUGUUGUUACCAUUCUGAUUAAACACUUUUCAGAAUCUUGACAGUUUCAACGUGUUUCCACAAAACCCUUCAUAUGUAGUUUCUUCUUUGAAAUUAAAUGUCUGAUCCUCCUUGAUGACCUGGCAGGAUUCACAUGCAACUGGGUCAUCAAGAAGAAACCAAAAAUGAAGUGGCAUAUGCCACCCCGUUGACUACAUUAAAACGGCACUGCCCAUUGGCAUAUGGAAUGAUGGGAAAUAUACAGAGAUUCAUCUUCUCAAUGUCUAUCUCCAGGCACCACCUUCCUAGGUGUCGAGGUGCCACAUUUUCAAUCGAGGCCCCCUGGGUUCUGCAAGUAACAGUCUCACGUAUGACACUCAAAUUACCCACGACUGACGGCCACUAUCCUGCGUGGUACGACUCCAACACGUCGGUGGACAUUCAAACCUCAGGAAACUCCUUGCUGCUAUUCCUGCAUUCCAGUUGCACAUGCACCUUCAAUUAGCCUUUUUGCACAUUUAAAAUUGUCAUUUGUACUUGCAUUUGCCUUCAUUGCACAUCUAUACAUCCUAAUUGUAAUAUAUACUAUACUUCAUACUUGUAAAGACUUGAACAUUUCUGCCCUCUUCUAUUUGCACUUCUGGAUAGAUGUUAACUGCAUUUCAUCGUACUGUACUUGUACUGCUGAAUGACAAUAAAGUUUAAUCUAAUCUAUUCUCUCUUUUGUAACACAAACCUGCCCUAAAUGGGGAGGGACUUGAACUGUCCAAUAGAAACUUCCCAUUUUCCUCUGAAAUGUUUACCUACUGAAUACACUAAUAAACACCCCCAGAUCCGAUCAGAGUUUUACCUCAAAGUGAAGCACCAUCUUAAACCUUAAAUACCCUUCUAAUAGUGAACCCACAGUAAAACACAAUGUUGUUUUAACAAAUAAAGGGUGUUCAUACACUUAUUAAAACACACUUACCGUACAGUGUGUAUUGAGGGGUUGGUAGAGACCAGUUGGACUAUUCUCUCAGUCACAGCAUCAGUGAUGUCAUUAUGACUCAGGCUGAGA